GACGAACGCUGGCGGCGUGCUUAACACAUGCAAGUCGAACGAAGUGGCGAACGGGUGAGUAAUGCCUAGGAAUCUGCCUGGUAGUGGGGGAUAACGUCCGGAAACGGGCGCUAAUACCGCAUACUAUCAGAUGAGCCUAGGUCGGAUUAGCUAGUUGGUGGGGUAAAGGCCUACCAAGGCGACGAUCCGUAACUGGUCUGAGAGGAUGAUCAGUCACACUGGAACUGGGAUACGGCCCAGACUGCUGCGGGAGGCAGCAGUGGGGGAUAUUGCACGAUGGGCGAAAGCCUGAUGCAGCGACGCCGCGUGGGGGAUGAAGGCUUGCGGGUUGUAAACCUCUUUCGCUAGCGAACGGGUAGGUGGAGAAGAAGCGCCGGCUAACUACGUGCCAGCAGCCGCGGUAAUUC
RNAcentral lists this ribosomal RNA (407 nucleotides) under uncultured bacterium. Its description in RNAcentral is "partial 16S ribosomal RNA". It matches the Rfam family "Bacterial small subunit ribosomal RNA", at positions 28 to 526 of the family's 1533-position model. The record is from RNAcentral.